RNAcentral lists this ribosomal RNA (253 nucleotides) under uncultured bacterium. RNAcentral describes it as "partial 16S ribosomal RNA". It matches the Rfam family "Bacterial small subunit ribosomal RNA", at positions 524 to 776 of the family's 1533-position model. The record is from RNAcentral.
UACGUAGGGUGCGAGCGUUAAUCGGAAUUACUGGGCGUAAAGCGUGCGCAGGCGGUUAUGUAAGUCAGGGGUGAAAUCCCGGGGCUCAACCUCGGAACUGCCUUUGAUACUGCAAAUCUCGAGUCCGGUAGAGGUGGGUGGAAUUCCUAGUGUAGAGGUGAAAUUCGUAGAUAUUAGGAAGAACACCAGUGGCGAAGGCGGCUCACUGGCCCGGUACUGACGCUCAUGUGCGAAAGCGUGGGGAGCAAACAGG